UACGUAGGGGGCAAGCGUUGUCCGGAUUUAUUGGGCGUAAAGAGCGUGUAGGCGGCCUGGAAGGUCAGUUGUGAAAACUCGAGGCUCAACCUCGAGACGCCGAUUGAAACCACCAGGCUAGAGUCCGGAAGAGGAGAGUGGAAUUCCCGGUGUAGCGGUGAAAUGCGCAGAUAUCGGGAAGAACACCCGUGGCUAAGGCGGCUCUCUAGUACGGUACUGACGCUGAGACGCGAAAGCGUGGGGAGCGAACAGG
RNAcentral lists this ribosomal RNA (253 nucleotides) under uncultured bacterium. RNAcentral describes it as "partial 16S ribosomal RNA". It matches the Rfam family "Bacterial small subunit ribosomal RNA", at positions 524 to 776 of the family's 1533-position model. The record is from RNAcentral.